AACAAGUGCAAAUUAUUUUUUUAUCACUCAAUAUGUUUUGAACAUUUUCUGAUUGGUCAAAAACAAUUCGCCCGUAAUUCACUGCACUUUAAAUAUGGUAUUAUUUUUUUGCUUCAAAUCUGUUUGUAAUUUUUUUUCUCUCAAAUAUUAUGUUUAAAUGUCCACCAUUACGGGGGCUGGGGGCUCGUGGUACCCCUAGGGGUACAUGUACCCCAGGUUGAGAACCGCUGCUUUAGGUAAACAAGAAACAAUACUUCGUAAAACUGAUAAUUCCGUGAAAGAAAAUACUUGGUGGGACAAUUAUGCGUAGAAGUACAACGAUGGGACAAACAGACUUGGUGUUGUUUUCAAUGAGUUUACGAACAAAGUACUAGAUUUUAUAUGUUUUUCUCGAAAAGUAAACUAAACCUAAAAAUGACAAAAAGUCAGAAUCGACCAAAAAUGACAUGGGACAAUUAUACGUAGAACGGCAGUGUACUGUUAGUUAACCAUUUGCUCCACAGUUUUCAGUAGGUAAAGUUUACUCGGGCAGAACGUCAAACUGACAAGGCAAAAGAAAUUUCUUUCAAUACAAAUAUUCACAAACUUCCGAAAGCAAUAUAUUUUUGUUUAGUUGCAGUUCAUGAUGGUGCUGCCAGGAUUAAUCGGAUUUGCAUCGACCUUGGUGAUUGCGGCAGCUGCCAUCGCAACUGUUUGCUACACUGUCAAUUACAUCAAUAAUCGAUAUUUACACGAAGGGCAAGGUCCAAGCCGUCCGUCAUCAUCAGGCAACAACAAAUCGUCAAAGUCAUGGAAGGGAUACGACGAUUGGAAUGAAAUCUCCUGCACUAUUUGCCUAAAUGCCGUAAAUGGUUGGACCACGCGAAAACUGGCAUGCGGACACAUGUUCCAUAAUAAAUGCAUUGAAAGCUGGUUCACCCACACCCGAUGCUGCCCAAACUGUCGUACGGAUGUGUAAGCAAGGACAAUAGAAUCUGUUUUGCUGUGAUGACACUGAAGACUUCCGGAUAUACGUUCAGAAAUGCUUGUAAUCUGUGUAACAACAUUUUUAAGAUAAGCUUUUAACAUUUUUUGUUCGUUGAUAUUUUUAUCAAACUUAAUUUACCCAUUUGAAUGUAACGUAUACUAAGUCUUGGCAAACUUAAUGUAAUUUGAAACUCACAUAAGUCGGCAAUAAAAAAAACUAGAAUUGUAAAACUCA
Long non-coding RNA from Culex pipiens pallens (northern house mosquito), 1201 nucleotides. RefSeq lists it as uncharacterized. The transcript is spliced from 2 exons. Lineage: Eukaryota; Metazoa; Arthropoda; Insecta; Diptera; Culicidae. The record is from RefSeq and is a predicted model, not a curated record.